This is a long non-coding RNA of Corylus avellana, 912 nucleotides long. RefSeq lists it as uncharacterized. The record is from RefSeq and is a predicted model, not a curated record. NCBI's taxonomy places the organism in Eukaryota, Viridiplantae, Streptophyta, Magnoliopsida, Fagales, Betulaceae.
UUUUUGCUCGAUGACGUGGCCUAUUUUUAGCCUUGGAUCUCUUUAUCCAGAGGAACCGAAGCCUACUACCGAGACGUUGCAUACAGGGACAUACUAAAACCGAAAGCCGUUUCCUUCAAACAUCCCAAGUGAAGAAAGACCAAGAAAGUGGAACAUGCUUUGCUGCCCCACCCGGCGGCCGGAGCACACUGGCUCUGUCCUUCUCCGCGCCACUCCAACUGCAAGGUUUUUUUUCCGGUGAAUUAAGAGGUGCUGCUCAUUCCUAGCAUGAAGCGGCAUGCUUUGACUGUGAACAGGCUAUCGAUGAUGUAUGUGGGAUAAACAACUGCUGCCUGCUACAACAGGAUGUUAGCCACAAAUCUAAUUACAUUGGACCACAAUGAUUACUUUCUCUUGAAGGGUCCAGCUAGGCCUGUUGAAAAGAAACAUCUACCAACAUUGGACCACCUGGAAAAAGACAAGGAGGGAUGUUUUUAUUAGACCAUGAAGUAUCAUGUGUGUCACAGAAUUCCUUAUACAAAGAAUUUUAUUCUUUUGGAUGUGAAGUUUCACAGGUGGGGAUGCACUAUCUGCUUUUGCCACAUCAGUGAAGAAUAAAGAAAGAUCUCCAUUCCUUGUGAAUAGCAUUUCAAGCUGGCUGCAUACGAGAGCGACAACCUGGUCACAGUGAGAGACAACCUGUUGAUAACUCUAUAGUGCUUUGAUGGGUUAUUGUUUGUCUUGAUGUUGGCUCUUGGAGAGCCCUGGCACUCUCCAUGUCAACCCAAUGAAGCAUUUUCUAUUUGCGCCAUUUUGUAUAUUCUUGUACAACUUUCAUAUGGGUGGGAUGUGAAAAUUAGUUCGAAUAUGUGAAUGUACUUUUGUAUUCUUGUGGAAUAUUAAAUUGUGAAUAUAUUGGUAAACAUUCCAUGG